AAACCAGCACCUCAAGUGGUCAGGAUGAUUAUUGGGCCUAAAGCAUCCGUAGCCUGCUCUGUAAGUUUUCGGUUAAAUCUGUACGCUCAACGUACAGGCUGCCGGGAAUACUGCAGAGCUUGGGAGUGGGAGAGGUAGACGGUACUCGGGAGGAAGUGGUAAAAUGCUUUGAUCUCUCGAUGACCACCUGUGGCGAAGGCGGUCUACCAGAACACGUCCGACGGUGAGGGAUGAAAGCUGGGGGAGCAAACCGGAUUAGAAACCCUAGUAGUCC
This 274-nucleotide ribosomal RNA is filed under the name uncultured bacterium. RNAcentral describes it as "partial 16S ribosomal RNA". It matches the Rfam family "Archaeal small subunit ribosomal RNA", at positions 473 to 747 of the family's 1478-position model. The record is from RNAcentral.